GACGAACGCUGGCGGCGUGCUUAACACAUGCAAGUCGAACGGCAAGGCCCUGCUUUUGUGGGGUGCUCGAGUGGCGAACGGGUGAGUAACACGUGAGUAACCUGCUCUUGAUUUUGGGAUAACUUCAGGAAACUGGGGCUAAUAUCGGAUAGGAGCUCCUGUUGCAUGGUGGGGGUUGGAAAGUCUCGGCGGUCGGGGAUGGACUCGCGGCUUAUCAGCUUGUUGGUGGGGUAGUGGCUUACCAAGGCUUUGACGGGUAGCCGGCCUGAGAGGGUGACCGGCCACAUUGGGACUGAGGUACGGCCCAGACUCCUACGGGAGGCAGCAGUGGGGAGUAUUGCACAAUGGGCGGAAGCCUGAGGCAGCAACGCCGCGGGCGGGAUGACGGCCUUCGGGUUGUAAACCGCUUUCGCCUGUGACGAAGCGUGAGUGACGGUAAUGGGUAAAGAAGCACCGGCUAACUACGUG
This 468-nucleotide ribosomal RNA is filed under the name uncultured bacterium. Its description in RNAcentral is "partial 16S ribosomal RNA". It matches the Rfam family "Bacterial small subunit ribosomal RNA", at positions 28 to 507 of the family's 1533-position model. The record is from RNAcentral.